UCGGGGUGGGGGGGUCUGUUAGUUCAUCUUGACCUGGAAAAACAGCUCAAGUUUGUAGUUAAUGAUAAUAUCUACAACAGCAAUUUCAGCACAUUAGCCAGGCUAUUGACAAGGGCAAUUUUAUUACAUUAGUGUCGAUGUUAUUGACAACAGCCGUUCUAGUCAUUUGGCUGGUGGAUUAGUGUUCAGUUAGCACAGGUUUGAGGUCAGAGGGAUAAAAGAAGGAAUAGAGAAGAGGAGAGGCUGGCAGGAGCGAGAUUGGAACCAGUGUCUUAGAGGCACCGAGAGGAUUCGCCACCCAGCUCUGCUGGGGUCAGCGCCCUGGCGCCCCGCCUGGCAACACCAGUGAUGGCACGAGGAGCGGCACCCUGGGAUAUGUGAGAGCUCGCUGGCCAUCACGACCUGAGGCCUCAGCUCUUCUUCAGAACUCCACUCUUGUGACCAGAUAAGAUUCUUCCUGCAGAAGAAAAUGCCAACUAAUAGAACACCCAGGAGAGCGCAACACUUCUUGGUAGACUCCAGCUUCCAGCUCCAUGAUAAUUCUGGUUAUACCUGUGGGCGUGCCCUUCUUUCAGAAAUAAAUCCUGGGCCAAGGAUUCAGGCACAGUUGAUUCUUGAAGAUGAGCUCCUGGGAGCAAGGGCUUUGCUGGGAAUGGACUGGUUAAUCCACAUUCCUCAGUGCCUUCCCUCCCCACUUCUUCACUUCCUGACUCUGGACUCAGCCAUCAGCUUACUUUGAGGAUGCUUGCUCUUGUGCCUCUGCUGUCGCAAUGAAAAACGCCCAGGCUGGCCUGCUGGACAA
Sus scrofa (pig) is the source of this 802-nucleotide non-coding RNA. The record is from RefSeq and is a predicted model, not a curated record. Lineage: Eukaryota; Metazoa; Chordata; Mammalia; Artiodactyla; Suidae.